AGGUAAUGAACUUGAAAUAAGUGUGUAUUUUGAAAAUAUAAAAUAGAAUUUAAACUCUAUUAUCUU
This 66-nucleotide transfer RNA is filed under the name Euurobracon breviterebrae. Its description in RNAcentral is "tRNA-Ser". Lineage: Eukaryota; Metazoa; Arthropoda; Insecta; Hymenoptera; Braconidae. The record is from RNAcentral.